Molecule: unclassified non-coding RNA, 518 nt
Filed under: Hevea brasiliensis (rubber tree)
Lineage: Eukaryota; Viridiplantae; Streptophyta; Magnoliopsida; Malpighiales; Euphorbiaceae
Source: RNAcentral
GGAGUUUUGGGUAUUUAUGGUCUUAUUAUUGCUGUAAUUAUUAGUACAGGAAUUAACCCGAAGGCCAAAUCUUAUUACCUCUUCGAUGGUUACGCACAUCUCUCCUCUGGCCUUGCUUGUGGGCUUGCCGGUCUGUCCGCUGGCAUGGCUAUCGGGAUCGUCGGUGAUGCUGGUGUUAGAGCCAAUGCGCAGCAGCCUAAGCUUUUCGUUGGGAUGAUUCUUAUUUUAAUUUUUGCCGAAGCUUUGGCACUCUAUGGACUUAUUGUUGGCAUUAUUCUCUCUUCCCGAGCUGGUCAGUCAAGAGCUGAUUAAGUGGAUGCUUUGUGUGUGGACUGGAGUUUGUGUAGUAUGUCUCCUCUUUUUGUCAAGAAUUGGUUUUGUACUCUUGAGUAAAUGGGUUAUUAUUAUGGUUUAAGCCUACUCUCUCAAAUUGUUCUUGUGAGGUGUGAUUGCUGUACCACACGGAUCGUGUAGUAGUUAUAUAUGAAUUUGGAAUUAAUUAUUCUUCUCAAUAAAAU